RNAcentral lists this ribosomal RNA (450 nucleotides) under uncultured bacterium. RNAcentral's name for it is "bacterial SSU rRNA". It matches the Rfam family "Bacterial small subunit ribosomal RNA", at positions 8 to 448 of the family's 1533-position model. The record is from RNAcentral.
AGAGUUUGAUCCUGGCUCAGGACGAACGCUGGCGGCAUGCCUAAUACAUGCAAGUCGAGCGGAAUGAUGAGAGCUUGCUCUCUGAUUUUAGCGGCGGACGGGUGAGUAACACGUGGGCAACCUGCCCUACAGAUGGGGAUAACUCCGGGAAACCGGGGCUAAUACCGAAUAAUCAGUUUGUCCGCAUGGACGAACUCUGAAAGACGGUUUCGGCUGUCACUGUAGGAUGGGCCCGCGGCGCAUUAGCUAGUUGGUGGGGUAAUGGCCUACCAAGGCGACGAUGCGUAGCCGACCUGAGAGGGUGAUCGGCCACACUGGGACUGAGACACGGCCCAGACUCCUACGGGAGGCAGCAGUAGGGAAUCUUCCACAAUGGACGAAAGUCUGAUGGAGCAAUGCCGCGUGAGCGAAGAAGGUUUUCGGAUCGUAAAGCUCUGUUGUAAGGGAAGA